CGAACGCUGGCGGCGUGCUUAACACAUGCAAGUCGAACGGCAAGGCCCUGCUUUUGUGGGGUGCUCGAGUGGCGAACGGGUGAGUAACACGUGAGUAACCUGCCCUUGACUUUGGGAUAACUUCAGGAAACUGGGGCUAAUACCGGAUAGGAGCUCCUGCUGCAUGGUGGGGGUUGGAAAGUUUCGGCGGUUGUGGAUGGACUCGCGGCUUAUCAGCUUGUUGGUGGGGUAGUGGCUUACCAAGGCUUUGACGGGUAGCCGGCCUGAGAGGGUGACCGGCCACAUUGGGACUGAGAUACGGCCCAGACUCCUACGGGAGGCAGCAGUGGGGAAUAUUGCACAAUGGGCGGAAGCCUGAUGCAGCAACGCCGCGUGCGGGAUGACGGCCUUCGGGUUGUAAACCGCUUUCGCCUGUGACGAAGCGUGAGUGACGGUAAUGGGUAAAGAAGCACCGGCUAACUACGUG
This 466-nucleotide ribosomal RNA is filed under the name uncultured bacterium. Its description in RNAcentral is "partial 16S ribosomal RNA". It matches the Rfam family "Bacterial small subunit ribosomal RNA", at positions 30 to 507 of the family's 1533-position model. The record is from RNAcentral.